RNAcentral lists this ribosomal RNA (770 nucleotides) under Pseudomonas plecoglossicida. RNAcentral describes it as "bacterial SSU rRNA". It matches the Rfam family "Bacterial small subunit ribosomal RNA", at positions 119 to 885 of the family's 1533-position model. The record is from RNAcentral. Lineage: Bacteria; Pseudomonadati; Pseudomonadota; Gammaproteobacteria; Pseudomonadales; Pseudomonadaceae.
AGGAAUCUGCCUGGUAGUGGGGGACAACGUUUCGAAAGGAACGCUAAUACCGCAUACGUCCUACGGGAGAAAGCAGGGGACCUUCGGGCCUUGCGCUAUCAGAUGAGCCUAGGUCGGAUUAGCUAGUUGGUGGGGUAAUGGCUCACCAAGGCGACGAUCCGUAACUGGUCUGAGAGGAUGAUCAGUCACACUGGAACUGAGACACGGUCCAGACUCCUACGGGAGGCAGCAGUGGGGAAUAUUGGACAAUGGGCGAAAGCCUGAUCCAGCCAUGCCGCGUGUGUGAAGAAGGUCUUCGGAUUGUAAAGCACUUUAAGUUGGGAGGAAGGGCAGUAAGCGAAUACCUUGCUGUUUUGACGUUACCAACAGAAUAAGCACCGGCUAACUCUGUGCCAGCAGCCGCGGUAAUACAGAGGGUGCAAGCGUUAAUCGGAAUUACUGGGCGUAAAGCGCGCGUAGGUGGUUCGUUAAGUUGGAUGUGAAAUCCCCGGGCUCAACCUGGGAACUGCAUCCAAAACUGGCGAGCUAGAGUAGGGCAGAGGGUGGUGGAAUUUCCUGUGUAGCGGUGAAAUGCGUAGAUAUAGGAAGGAACACCAGUGGCGAAGGCGACCACCUGGGCUCAUACUGACACUGAGGUGCGAAAGCGUGGGGAGCAAACAGGAUAAGAUACCCUGGUAGUCCACGCCGUAAACGAUGUCAACUAGCGGUUGGAAUCCUUGAGAUUUUAGUGGCGCAGCUAACGCAUUAAGUGACGCGCCAGGGGAGGGCGA